This 460-nucleotide ribosomal RNA is filed under the name uncultured bacterium. RNAcentral's name for it is "partial 16S ribosomal RNA". It matches the Rfam family "Bacterial small subunit ribosomal RNA", at positions 338 to 795 of the family's 1533-position model. The record is from RNAcentral.
CCUACGGGAGGCAGCAGUGAGGAAUAUUGGUCAAUGGACGAGAGUCUGAACCAGCCAAGUAGCGUGAAGGAUGACUGCCCUAUGGGUUGUAAACUUCUUUUAUAUGGGAAUAAAACGUUCCACGUGUGGGAUUUUGUAUGUACCAUAUGAAUAAGGAUCGGCUAACUCCGUGCCAGCAGCCGCGGUAAUACGGAGGAUCCGAGCGUUAUCCGGAUUUAUUGGGUUUAAAGGGAGCGUAGGUGGAUUGUUAAGUCAGUUGUGAAAGUUUGCGGCUCAACCGUAAAAUUGCAGUUGAAACUGGCAGUCUUGAGUACAGUAGAGGUGGGCGGAAUUCGUCGUGUAGCGGUGAAAUGCUUAGAUAUCACGAAGAACUCCGAUUGCGAAGGCAGUUCACUGGACUGCAACUGACACUGAGGCUCGAAAGUGUGGGUAUCAAACAGGAUUAGAUACCCCUGUAGUC